Long non-coding RNA from Vulpes vulpes (red fox), 2097 nucleotides. The record is from Ensembl. Lineage: Eukaryota; Metazoa; Chordata; Mammalia; Carnivora; Canidae.
UGGUGGCUGAGUUGUAGAAUGGAACUCAUCCAUCUCUGUGUCACCAUGGGAACGCAGCUGAGUGCAGAGAGAGUUCUAGAGAGAGGCUAACCUCUAUCUUCUAGAGUCUGGAGCCAGAGAUUGGGCCCCGUUCUGGCUUGGAAAAUCCUAAUGACAAGAGUAGAUGACCCUAAACGUUAGACCAGUGGAAGAAGACUACAAGAGGAGUGUCCUAUAUGUACAGAUUUUGGAAGGACAGAGAGGCAAAUUUUCUCAUGGGUUAAUUGGACAUUUGGUGAAGUAGCAAGUUCAGAGGAAUCUUGAAAGGACUCUGUCUAAGAGGUCUGCUUAUCAGGACAAGGUGUUUCCAAUAAAGAGUCUGAGUGAGGUAUACCACCAGGACAGCAGUGAGUGUUCUAGGAAUGGUGUUGGAGGUACUAUUGCAUGUUUGUGUGUGUGUGUUCUGAGGUGGGUUCUUUCCCCUAAUUCCAUUCUCCCUCUCUACUACCCCAGUUGUUGAGCCAAAAAAAAUAAAAAAACCUGUUAGUAAUGGGGCAGGUAGGGGAAUAGGGAAGACUGCAAUAAAAACUGGAAAAGUAAAAACAACAACAACAUUUAUAUUAUUGAAGUGAUCAAAAUAUCUAUUGUACUCAGUGCUACUGAUGCCCUCUUAGGUCUCCUUUCUGCCUGACACAUCAGUCUGCCAGCUGCUGUGGAUGCUGGCUGCUAAUAGCUCACAGCUGCUCUGUGCUGCUGAGACUUGCCCUUGGCCAAACAGGAGCCACCUCACCCUGGAAGCUUAUGAAUCUCCCCUUAGUUAAACUAAAGACAACAAGUAUUUUAUAGGGAUGGUCAAAUUUCUGCUGCUGCCAAGAUUGGAUGUUAAAAAUAUUAGAAGUAUUUUUGGGGGUUGGGGGGAGAUAUCUAUUUCUGGUGAUAGUGAAAAAUCUAGAAAAAAAUGUAUCUAACAGAAAAGUCCAUCAGAAGCUUUGAAGAGCUACUAAAGCAACUACAAAUUGAAGGAUCAAGGUCUUGGAGAGAAAAGUAUAAGAGGAUUCAGGCCCAGGUCCUCUCCGUGCCCCAUCCCUGCGUGGAGAGGAUAAAUCUGUGAGUUUAAGGAGUGUGCAGAUUUUCCACCUUUCAGCAAUUCCAGAGACAGCCUGCGAGGAUAUAAAAAGCAAGUGAAGAGCCUGCAGAAACGCAGGUGCAGUUUGGGGUCCCUAUGCCAAAAGUGCAGCAUUUCUUCAAAGCCCUUAACCGUCACCUCUCCUUGCUUGGCCUGGCUGGCAACGCCCCCACCAUUGCCUCUUCAGCCCAGGGGUGAUGCCGCUGGAGUCAUUGGAGUCUGAAAGAGGGAUUCACCUUGACCUUCCUUUUUCCCAGAAGAAGACACAACACAAAUGAGGCCGUCAAAAGCACCACAAUUCCUCCCUCUCAGCAGGUCUCAAAGCCCUCACUCUGACCCUCAUCGAUCAGCCAUAAAACGUAAAAUCAACAGACUUCUGCUUUUCUAUUUCAUGCAGAAAAAUGAACAUUGACCAGCCUCGUCAGCCAAGCUGACGGAAAUAUACAGUACAAAUGGGAGUGCCUACAGGCUCCUCUCUCAGAUCCUCUUAAGCCUCUUCUUUGUCCUGGUCCCAGAUGACAGCUGUGGGGCAGAGCAAAUUCCUGCUGCUAAGUAUGAAGUUCAUCGUCGUCCUGCUCAGAGGAUGCUUCCAGUGACUUGGUGACUGACAGCCGGAAUAAGCAGUUAUUUUUCCAGGCUCAGGUGCAAGAGGCGCAUGCAGCCCACUGCCUGACCUUAUUCAGCUGAGCUUGGCAUUCUGGGGCCAGCUCGCUGCCACCAUUACCUGUUAAGGUUAAAAUAUUGUUGAGUUGAUUGAUGAUGAAGCUCUAUCGUGUUACUCUCCUACUGAAAUAAUUUUUGACUGUGCUCCAUGUGCCACAGAAUCAGAUCCAAAUACCUUCCUCUGACAUUCAUGGCUUGUCAUGGUCUGACCCCAAUCUACCGUCCCAGUUGUACCUCUUAUUACCAGACUUCAUGAGUCCUGUGAUGUGGACAAGCUGAACGGCUCUCUGAAUCUGCCUCUCACUUUCCUUCCUCUGUAGGCACUUAGC